RNAcentral lists this ribosomal RNA (443 nucleotides) under uncultured bacterium. Its description in RNAcentral is "partial 16S ribosomal RNA". It matches the Rfam family "Bacterial small subunit ribosomal RNA", at positions 338 to 795 of the family's 1533-position model. The record is from RNAcentral.
CCUACGGGGGACAGCAGUGGGGAAUAUUGGGCCUUGGAGGCAACUCUGACCUAGCAAUGCCGCGUGAGUGAUGAAGGUAAUUUUAUUGUAAAGCUCUUUUCUUUGGAACGAAUAAAUGACGGUACCAAAUGAAUAAGCCCCGGCUAACUACGUGCCAGCAGCCGCGGUAAUACGUAGGGGGCAAGCGUUGUUCGGAAUGACUGGGCGUAAAGGGUGUGUAGGUGGUUUGAUAAUUUAGAUGUGUAAUACCCAGGACUUAACUUGGGUUCUGCAUCUAAAAAUGGUAGACUUGAGUACUGGAGAGGAUAGUGGAAUUCCUAGUGUAGCGGUUGAAUGCGUAGAUAUUAGGAGGAACAUCAGUGGCGAAGGCGACUAUCUGGACAGCAACUGACACUGAGGCACGAAAGCGUGGGGAGCAAACAGGAUUAGAUACCCUGGUAGUC